Molecule: long non-coding RNA, 1490 nt
Filed under: Homo sapiens (human)
Lineage: Eukaryota; Metazoa; Chordata; Mammalia; Primates; Hominidae
Description: HSALNT0316188
Source: RNAcentral
CCCCACUGUCUGCUCUCUAAAGCAACCAGUAUUUAUUUGGUUAAAAAGCAGCUAAUUAAUCUGUUUGAUCUUGAUGUGGAAAUGAACCGUAUCGAAUUCCAGGUCAAAUCACUUAUCCUUGUAGAAUGUUUUUUUAACCUUUUGAGGUGUGUUUCAUCAGAUUACGGACUAUCAGAAGUUUACUUGUCCUCAAUAUUCCGGUCUGCAUGGUGACAUGGCUAUUGUUCUAAUAACAGUGCUUUUAAGUAUAAACCUAAUAUUGUCUACAAAAAGAAAAGUCACAUUUAUCAAUGGACUGUGAAAAGUUGUAAGGGGAUUGUGUAACUUAAUUAUACAAGCAGUGUCAUAUAUGAUACUAUUCUUGAAAAAUACCUUGCCAUCUGGUCCCAUUUAUCUGAGAUGAGAUCUGUUGUUAUUUUUCUUUUUCUCUUCUUAAGUUUCGCUAAGCUGCCAGCAAAUAUUAUUUUCCUUAUUUUAAACAUGAAGAAACAAAGGUCCAGAUAGGCCAACUAACUUAUCCAAAGUAGUGGUAGAGCCAGAACAUGAACCCAAGAUGGUACCAAAGCUCCUGGUAUUUUUUUUUUCAAACUUUUAUUUUGAAAUAAUCAUGAAUUUUUAAGGAGUGGCAAAAAAUGUGCAGGGAAGUUCCAUGUAUCUUUCACUUAGUUUUGCCUCAUGGUAACAUCUUGCAUAACUAUAUUUUAAUAUAAAAAUCAGGAAUAGACAUGAGUACAGUCCACGGAACUCAUUCAGAUUUGUAAUAAUCACUACCAUAAUUAAAAUAUGGAGUGGUUCUAGCACCAAAAGGCUCUCUUGUGCUAGCCCAUUAUAGCCACUCCCCUUUCUUCCUGCUAUCCCUAACUCCUAGUAACCACCCAUCUGUUCUCCAUCUCUAAAUUAUUUCAAUAGUGUCAUGUAAAUGAAAUCUCACAGGAUAUAAGUUUUUGAGAUUGGCUGUUUUCUCAGCCUAAUUUCUUUGAGAUCCAUUUGUUUUGUGUAUCAAUAGCUUAUUUCUUAUAUUGCUGAGCAGGAUUUCAUCAUAUACAUGAAUCAGUGUAACCUGUUGAAGGACAUUUGAUAGUUCUGGCUUUGCUUGAACAUGACUUUUAGUUUUUUGGGAUAAAUGCCUUCUGAGGUCUGAAUGUUUGUGUUCCCCCAGAAUGCAUAGGUUAAAACUUAACCUCCAACGUGAUGGUAUUAAGAGGUGGGGCCUUUGGGGGCUGAUUUUAUCAUGAGGACUCAGCCCUUAUUAAUGGGAUUAGUGCCAUGAUUAAAGAGACCAGAGGGACCUUUUUCACUCCUUCUACCCUGUGUGGACACAUGGAGGGGUGCCAUCUAUGAGGAACGGGCUUUCACCAGGCAUUGAAUCUGCUGGUAGGAAAAUCAGGACCCUUUUAUAAAUGGGCUGGCACAUCUGCAGAUUGUCCUGGGUCACUGGGAAGCAGUGUAUGAGGGUUCCCGAUUUCUUCACAUUCUUGUCAACACUUGUU